GACGAACGCUGGCGGCGUGCUUAACACAUGCAAGUCGAACGGAAAGGCCCUGCUUUUGUUGGGUGCUCGAGUGGCGAACGGGUGAGUAACACGUGAGUAACCUGCCCUUGACUCUGGGAUAACUUCAGGAAACUGGGGCUAAUACCGGAUAGGAGCUCUUGCUGCAUGGUGGGGGUUGGAAAGUUUCGGCGGUUGGGGAUGGACUCGCGGCGGAUCAGCUUGUUGGUGGGGUAGUGUCUUACCAAGGCUUUGACGGGUAGCCGGCCUGAGAGGGUGACCGGCCACAUUGGGCCUGAGAUGCGGCCCAGACUCCUACGGGACGCAGCAGUGGAGAAUAGUGCACAAUAGGCGGAAGCCUGAUGCAGCAACGCCGCGUGCGGGAAAACAGCCUUCGGGUUGUAAACCGAUUUCGCCUGUGACGAAGCGUGAGUGACGGUAAUGGAUAAAGAAGCACCGGCUAACUACGUG
RNAcentral lists this ribosomal RNA (468 nucleotides) under uncultured bacterium. RNAcentral's name for it is "partial 16S ribosomal RNA". It matches the Rfam family "Bacterial small subunit ribosomal RNA", at positions 28 to 507 of the family's 1533-position model. The record is from RNAcentral.